AGAGAGAGACAUGCGCGCAUAUCAAUAAGCGGAGGAAAAGAAACUAACAAGGAUUCCCCUAGUAACGGCGAGUGAAGCGGGAAGAGCUCAAAUUUGAAAUCUUAAAGGGUUUCCCUUUACGAAUUGUAGUUUAAAGAAGUGUUUUCUGUUGGAGUUUUGGUAAAAGUUCUUUGGAAUAGGACAUCAUAGAGGGUGAGAAUCCCGUAUUUGACCUUUACUUUCAACUUUGUGAUACACUUUCAAAGAGUCGGAUUGUUUGGGUAUGCAGUCCAAAAUGGGUGGUAAAUUUCAUCUAAAGCUAAAUACUGGCGAGAGACCGAUAGCGAACAAGUACCGUGAGGGAAAGAUGAAAAGAACUUUGAAAAGAGAGUUAAACAGUACGUGAAAUUGUCAAAAGGGAAGCGUUUGACACCAGUGUUGUUUUUCUGAAAAUCAAUUAAAGAACUGUUUAUGCUAAGUUGUUUAGACUUUAUCAGCUAACUGUUUAGUUUUGAGCUUUUCUUUAAUGCACUUUUCAGUUAACAAGUCAACAUCAAUUUCUUUUGCUGUAAAAAAGCUUGAGGAAGGUGGCUUGAGAUUCGUCUUAAGUGUUUAUAGCCUCUUGCCUAUGCAGUCGGAGAGAUUGAGGUCUGCAGCGUAGAUCCUUCGGGGCUUAAAUGCAUUUGUGCUAAGUUAUAGCCUUUCAUAGACAACUUGUUGACUAUGAUCUAGUCAUGUAGCUUACUCGCUUAUGCUAUUUUACCUACGCUUAGGAUGUUGAUGUGAUACUGCGAGC
RNAcentral lists this ribosomal RNA (775 nucleotides) under uncultured Neocallimastigales. Its description in RNAcentral is "partial large subunit ribosomal RNA". It matches the Rfam family "Eukaryotic large subunit ribosomal RNA", at positions 23 to 645 of the family's 3401-position model. The record is from RNAcentral. Lineage: Eukaryota; Fungi; Neocallimastigomycota; Neocallimastigomycetes; Neocallimastigales.